UCCCUCCAGAUUCCUGUGAGCCCAGAGGGAGGGACUGUUACUGCGGUCACUGAGGAGUCCCGUGGUGCCUUGGAUUCACAGACUGGUCAGUUACUUACUUCAUCCGGGCUCCUUUUCUUCAGGUUUGCGAUGUCCUUCCUGCAUUUCUGCGUCCUGCAUCUCACCUCCAUUUCUUCCGCACGCCCUCCUUCUCCCUCUCACCUUCCCCUUUUUAUCCUUGAUUCAGAGCAGAGAUAACAAUGACUCGACUUGUUCACAUACGAAAAUAGCUCGCUUGUCAGAGCUGCAUGGGGACUGGUGCCACGGAAAUUCUGUGAGCAGAAGAACAGUUCAGAUCAGAGAAUUUUCUUUGGGUUUGGAGUGCUCCCUGGUCGUGGUCGUCUCCAGUCCACACCCCAUCCUGGGGAGCAGAUUUUCAGAACAUGGUGAUGAGUUGGUACAACAACACGAGCAAAGUUCCAGCCCACAGCACAUCCCUGUGAAGCUGUCAGAUGGAGGAUGUGGCACCUUGACUCGGCCACCCGUGGAAGCAAACAACGCCAGGAGUGACCCACCGACGCAUGAUCCUGCUCUUGGGAAGUUGGACCUCCGUACACACAGUCCCUUUGGAAGUCUCGUGAUUACCUGGAGAAGCACUGCAACUCGAGAGCUGGAGGCAGCAGUUGAGAAGUCAGACACUUUUAAACCCGGGCAUUUCCCAUCUUUUUCAUCGGAAUCUCUAAGAGCCUGGAAAGUGCUUUUUCCUGGCAUUGUAAGGGGGCAGGGAUCCCCUUGACAUUGGCCUGUGUUACUCAGGAUAUAGCUCAAGAUCCAGAGGAUGGGCCUCCUGAUAAGAUUCACAUGGUAAUCAUAGAAAAUCAGGCUGAACGCCUAGCGUAGAAUCAGGAAGAUUACGAGAUGAAUGGACUGAUGUGAAUAUGAAACAUUGCCUGUUCUUCAAAGUGAGAAAGAAGAAAAGAAAGAUACUGUGAGUGGAAUGAGAACUUGAUAGCAAACUAGAGCUACAGCCUUGGAGAAGAUGGACGAUAGAAUGGAAUCUGUUAGACACACGCUCAUGGAGACUAGCAUUUGCCAGGGGCCCACUGUGUGCCAAGUUCUGCACUUGGACUUCAUACUCUCUGCAGUGCAUGGUUGUACAUCCUAGCUGUAAAUCCUUCCAGUUCUUCCAUGCGAGCUGCCGCCACAGCAUGGCAACUGAGAGACGAGUGGUGUGGUUCCACGACCAGGCCACUGAAGUGGUGAGGGUGCCAAACUCUUAACCACUAGGCCAUCGGGGCCAGCUCUGUGCUGGUUAGUUUUGUGCGUCAACUUGACUUGGCCACAGGAUACCCGGAUAUUUGAUCAUACUCUGCAGGUACACCUGCAAUGGAUUUUCAGUAAACCCUCUUUGGUUGAACGAGCAAAGCUUCAUCUUCUCCCCUCCAUGUGAAGUACUGUGGCCUGAGCCCAUCAUGUGCAGCCAGCAAGUGUGACCGACUUUGCAGGGGAAACUGGAG
Molecule: long non-coding RNA, 1496 nt
Filed under: Equus caballus (horse)
Lineage: Eukaryota; Metazoa; Chordata; Mammalia; Perissodactyla; Equidae
Description: lncRNA (ENSECAG00000058564.1)
Source: RNAcentral